CAGCCGCCGCGGUAAUACGAAGGGUGCAAGCGUUAAUCGGAAUUACUGGGCGUAAAGCGUGCGUAGGCGGUUUGUUAAGUCUGUUGUGAAAUCCCCGGGCUCAACCUGGGAACUGCAUUUGUGACUGGCAAGCUAGAGUGUGUCAGAGGAUGGUGGAAUUCCCGGUGUAGCGGUGAAAUGCGUAGAGAUCGGGAGGAACAUCAGUGGCGAAGGCGGCCAUCUGGGACAACACUGACGCUGAGGCACGAAAGCGUGGGGAGCAAACAGGAUUAGAUACCCCUGUAGUCCCUGUCUCUUAUAC
RNAcentral lists this ribosomal RNA (301 nucleotides) under uncultured bacterium. RNAcentral's name for it is "partial 16S ribosomal RNA". It matches the Rfam family "Bacterial small subunit ribosomal RNA", at positions 509 to 807 of the family's 1533-position model. The record is from RNAcentral.